AGGGCACCACCAGGAGUGGAGCCUGCGGCUUAAUUUGACUCAACACGGGAAAACUCACCCGGCCCGGACACUGGAAGGAUUGACAGAUUGAGAGCUCUUUCUUGAUUCAGUGGGUGGUGGUGCAUGGCCGUUCUUAGUUGGUGGAGUGAUUUGUCUGGUUAAUUCCGAUAACGAACGAGACUCUAGCCUACUAAAUAGAUAGUCGGCUUACAAACGUCGACUAGACUUCUUAGAGGGACAGGCGGUGAUUCAACCGCACGAAACAGAGCAAUAACAGGUCUGUGAUGCCCUUAGAUGUCCGGGGCCGCACGCGCGCUACACUGAAGUGAUCAGCGUGCUUUUUCAGCCUACUCUGUCAAGAGUGGGAAACCCAAUGAACCUUCUUCGUGAUUGGGAUAGGGGAUUGUAAUUAUUCCCCUUGAACGAGGAAUUCCCAGUAAGCGCGAGUCAUAGGCUCGCGUUGAUUACGUCCCUGCCCUUUGUACACACCGCCCGUCGCUACUACCGAUUGAAUGUUUU
RNAcentral lists this ribosomal RNA (519 nucleotides) under uncultured eukaryote. RNAcentral's name for it is "SSU rRNA". It matches the Rfam family "Eukaryotic small subunit ribosomal RNA", at positions 1161 to 1699 of the family's 1831-position model. The record is from RNAcentral.